RNAcentral lists this non-coding RNA (48 nucleotides) under Trypanosoma lewisi. The record is from RNAcentral. Lineage: Eukaryota; Euglenozoa; Kinetoplastea; Trypanosomatida; Trypanosomatidae.
AAAAAAGAAUACCUAAUAAAAUUGUAGGAUAUAGAUGUAUGUGAUGGU